This 435-nucleotide ribosomal RNA is filed under the name uncultured bacterium. RNAcentral describes it as "partial 16S ribosomal RNA". It matches the Rfam family "Bacterial small subunit ribosomal RNA", at positions 28 to 507 of the family's 1533-position model. The record is from RNAcentral.
GAUGAACGCUGGCGGUAUGCUUAACACAUGCAAGUCGAACGGACUCUUCGGAGUUAGUGGCGGACGGGUGAGUAACGCGUGAGAAUCUGGCUUUGGGUUCGGGACAACCACUGGAAACGGUGGCUAAUACCGGAUGUGCCGAGAGGUAAAAGAGAAAUUGCCUGAAGAUGAGCUCGCGUCUGAUUAGCUAGUUGGUGAGGUAAAGGCUCACCAAGGCAGCGAUCAGUAGCUGGUCUGAGAGGAUGACCAGCCACACUGGGACUGAGACACGGCCCAGACUCCUACGGGAGGCAGCAGGGGGGAAUUUUCCGCAAUGGGCGAAAGCCUGACGGAGCAAUACCGCGUGAGGGAAGAAGGCUCUUGGGUUGUAAACCUCUUUUCUUAGGGAAGAACAAAAUGACGGUACCUAGGGAAUCAGCAGCGGCUAACUCCGUG